Molecule: ribosomal RNA, 682 nt
Filed under: uncultured Paecilomyces
Lineage: Eukaryota; Fungi; Ascomycota; Eurotiomycetes; Eurotiales; Thermoascaceae
Description: eukaryotic LSU rRNA
Rfam family: 5.8S ribosomal RNA (bases 272-425)
Source: RNAcentral
CUUGGUCAUUUAGAGGAAGUAAAAGUCGUAACAAGGUCUCCGUUGGUGAACCAGCGGAGGGAUCAUUACCGAGUUUACAACUCCCAAACCCCCUGUGAACCUAUACCAUUACUGUUGCUUCGGCGGGUCAUUGCCCCGGGGAAAGGACGAGGUGCCGCCUAGGCUCCCCGGCCCGCCCCCGGAAACAGGCGCCUGCCGGGGGAAUCAAACUCUUCUGUAUUUUUUACUUUUACUGUUAUACUGUCUGAGUACAAAACUAUAAAUGAAUCAAAACUUUCAACAACGGAUCUCUUGGUUCUGGCAUCGAUGAAGAACGCAGCGAAAUGCGAUAAGUAAUGUGAAUUGCAGAAUUCAGUGAAUCAUCGAAUCUUUGAACGCACAUUGCGCCCGCCAGUAUUCUGGCGGGCAUGCCUGUUCGAGCGUCAUUACAACCCUCAAGUCCCCUGUGGACUUGGUGUUGGGGACCGGCGACACGCAGCUGUGUUUUUCUCACAGUUGGUUCGCCGCCCCCUAAAUGACUUGGCGGCCCCGUCUUAGGGUACCCCUCUGCGUAGUAGAACACACCUCGCAACAGGAAGCCCGGCGAAUGGCCACUGCCGUAAAACCCCCCAACUUCUUUCAGAGUUGACCUCGAAUCAGGUAGGAAUACCCGCUGAACUUAAGCAUAUCAAUAAGCGGAGGA